AGGUAACGGCUUACCAAGGCGACGAUCAGUAGCCGACCUGAGAGGGUGAUCGGCCACAUUGGAACUGAGACACGGUCCAAACUCCUACGGGAGGCAGCAGUGGGGAAUAUUGCACAAUGGGCGAAAGCCUGAUGCAGCAACGCCGCGUGAGUGAUGAAGGCCUUCGGGUCGUAAAACUCUGUCCUCAAGGAAGAUAAUGACGGUACUUGAGGAGGAAGCCCCGGCUAACUACGUGCCAGCAGCCGCGGUAAUACGUAGGGGGCUAGCGUUAUCCGGAUUUACUGGGCGUAAAGGGUGCGUAGGCGGUCUUUCAAGUCAGGAGUGAAAGGCUACGGCUCAACCGUAGUAAGCUCUUGAAACUGGGAGACUUGAGUGCAGGAGAGGAGAGUGGAAUUCCUAGUGUAGCGGUGAAAUGCGUAGAUAUUAGGAGGAACACCAGUUGCGAAGGCGGCUCUCUGGACUGUAACUGACGCUGAGGCACGAAAGCGUGGGGAGCAAACAGGAUUAGAUACCCUGGUAGUCCACGCUGUAAACGAUGAGUAC
RNAcentral lists this ribosomal RNA (543 nucleotides) under Clostridioides difficile. RNAcentral describes it as "bacterial SSU rRNA". It matches the Rfam family "Bacterial small subunit ribosomal RNA", at positions 255 to 816 of the family's 1533-position model. Lineage: Bacteria; Bacillati; Bacillota; Clostridia; Peptostreptococcales; Peptostreptococcaceae. The record is from RNAcentral.